UGCCAGCCGCCGCGGUAAUACGAAGGGUGCUAGCGUUGUUCGGAAUUACUGGGCGUAAAGAGCAUGUAGGCGGAUGAAUUAGUCAGAGGUGAAAGCCCCGAGCUCAACUUGGGAACUGCCUUUGAUACUGUUUAUCUAGAGGAUGUGAGAGGUGAGUGGAAUUCCGAGUGUAGAGGUGAAAUUCGUAGAUAUUCGGAAGAACACCAGUGGCGAAGGCGACUCACUGGCACAUUUCUGACGCUGAGGCGCGAAAGCGUGGGGAGCAAACAGGAUUAGAUA
Molecule: ribosomal RNA, 279 nt
Filed under: uncultured bacterium
Lineage: Bacteria
Description: partial 16S ribosomal RNA
Rfam family: Bacterial small subunit ribosomal RNA
Source: RNAcentral